Long non-coding RNA from Cheilinus undulatus (humphead wrasse), 627 nucleotides. RefSeq lists it as uncharacterized. The transcript has 3 exons. Lineage: Eukaryota; Metazoa; Chordata; Actinopteri; Labriformes; Labridae. The record is from RefSeq and is a predicted model, not a curated record.
AAUUCUGUUUGAUACUGGGUUGCCAUGCUGUAAAUAACUUCACCGCCACCGUGUUUUCACUAAUGUUAAAGCUUUAAAAAAAGACUUAUGGAAAGUGUUCUUGAACCUGAGUGUUUGAUAACAGGCGACAUCAGAGGGAGGAGGGACUCUGAGAGGGACCUUGGGGACCAUGUCAACGUUUUCUGUGCCGGAGCAGGGACAAACAUUGGGCAAACAUUGGGAAAGGCUGGCAGCCUUUGAGAUAGUGGGCCGUUGAUCUAAGACUGGAAGCUAAAGUCCACUAUCUCCUGUCUGAUACAGCAGCCAAGGUCUCAGUGACACACAGAGCCGCAGAACAAACAUGGAUAUACCUGAAGACAAUGACCUUUGAAUCCCCCGGUGGGAGAGGUGGAAAAAAACAGGAAGUGGUGAAAGUGACUCCUGUGACUUCCUCCCUGCAGGCCAAGAAUGAAUCAGGUGGAAUGAUUAAAUAGACGGUCACAAGAAGAGAACAGAGCCCUUGGCUGGUGCUUUGAGACAUGCGGGGCCUAGCCCAUCCUUCAGUGAGAAAUAUGUCCAGCUCGCUCUCUCAGGGUGCCGGAUCUUAAGAAGAAAACUGUCCGGGGCGGAGGAGCUGGGGGACAUAAU